CCUACGGGAGGCAGCAGUGGGGAAUCUUGCACAAUGGGCGAAAGCCUGAUGCAGCAACGCCGCGUGAGCGAAGAAGGCCUUUGGGUCGUAAAGCUCUGUCCUAAGGGAAGAAGGAAGUGACGGUACCUUAGGAGGAAGCCCCGGCUAACUACGUGCCAGCAGCCGCGGUAAUACGUAGGGGGCAAGCGUUAUCCGGAAUUAUUGGGCGUAAAGAGUACGUAGGCGGUUCUUUAAGCGUAGGGUCUAAGGCGAUGGCUUAACCAUCGUUCGCCCUGUGAACUGGAGGACUUGAGUAUCGGAGAGGAAAGCGGAAUUCCUAGUGUAGCGGUGAAAUGCGUAGAUAUUAGGAGGAACACCAGUGGCGAAGGCGGCUUUCUGGACGAAAACUGACGCUGAGGUACGAAAGCGUGGGGAGCAAACAGGAUUAGAUACCCCAGUAGUC
RNAcentral lists this ribosomal RNA (442 nucleotides) under uncultured bacterium. Its description in RNAcentral is "partial 16S ribosomal RNA". It matches the Rfam family "Bacterial small subunit ribosomal RNA", at positions 338 to 795 of the family's 1533-position model. The record is from RNAcentral.